Molecule: ribosomal RNA, 852 nt
Filed under: uncultured Actinomycetes bacterium
Lineage: Bacteria; Bacillati; Actinomycetota; Actinomycetes
Description: bacterial SSU rRNA
Rfam family: Bacterial small subunit ribosomal RNA
Source: RNAcentral
GUUUGGUAGGGGAGACUGGAAUUCCUGGUGUAGCGGUGGAAUGCGCAGAUAUCAGGAGGAACACCAAUGGCGAAGGCAGGUCUCUGGGCCAAUACUGACACUGAGGAGCGAAAGUCUGGGGAGCGAACAGGAUUAGAUACCCUGGUAGUCCAGACCGUAAACGGUGGGCACUAGUUGUGGGAACCUUCCACGGUUUCUGCGACGCAGCUAACGCAUUAAAGUGCCCCGCCUGGGGAGUACGAUCGCAAGAUUAAAACUCAAAGGAAAUUGACGGGGCCCCGCACAAGCAGCGGAGCAUGCGGCUUAAUUCGACGCAACGCGAAGAACCUUACCAAGGCUUGACAUAUAGGGAAAAGUGGCAGAGAUGUCAUGUCCGCAAGGGCUCUAUACAGGUGGUGCAUGGUUGUCGUCAGCUCGUGUCGUGAGAUGUUGGGUUAAGUCCCGCAACGAGCGCAACCCUCGUUCUGUGUUGCCAGCAUUUAGUUGGGGACUCACAGGAGACUGCCGGGGUUAACUCGGAGGAAGGUGGGGAUGACGUCAAAUCAUCAUGCCCCUUAUGUCUUGGGCUGCACGCAUGCUACAAUGGCCGGUACAGAGGGCUGCAAUACCGUAAGGUGGAGCGAAUCCCAAAAAGCCGGUCUCAGUUCGGAUUGAGGUCUGCAACUCGACCUCAUGAAGUUGGAGUUGCUAGUAAUCGUAGAUCAGCAUCGCUACGGUGAAUACGUUCCCGGGGCUUGUACACACCGCCCGUCACGUCACGAAAGUCGGUAACACCCAAAGUCAGUGGCCCAACCGCAAGGGGGGAGCUGCCUAAGGUGGGAUCGGUGAUUGGGACGAAGUCGUAACAAGGUA